RNAcentral lists this RNase P RNA (403 nucleotides) under Pseudomonadota bacterium. RNAcentral describes it as "Proteobacteria bacterium (mine drainage metagenome) RNase P RNA component class A". It matches the Rfam family "Bacterial RNase P class A". From Rfam's summary of the family: Ribonuclease P (RNase P) is a ubiquitous endoribonuclease, found in archaea, bacteria and eukarya as well as chloroplasts and mitochondria. Lineage: Bacteria; Pseudomonadati; Pseudomonadota. The record is from RNAcentral.
UAAGGCAAGCGGGUGAUCGUUGGUUUUGGUUUGGUAACGAAUUUGAAAAUCAGAGGAAAGUCCGGACUCCACGAGAGAAUGAUACCAGCUAACGGCUGGCCACGUCGGUCCGAAUAAAAUAGGACAGUUGAGGGAAAGUGUCACAGAGAAUAUACCGCCGGCCUCACGGCCGGUAAGGGUGAAAAGGCGAGGUAAGAGCUCACCCGCUUUCGUGGUAACACGAACUUGGAAAAACCCUAUCUGGAGCAAAGUCAAAUAGGAUGGCUAGGCUUUAAUGCCUAGAUGCGCUCUCGCAUCGCUAUUCGGGUAGACUGCUUGAGCCUAGUGGUGACGCUAGGCCUAGAUGAAUGAUCGCCGCUUGGGCAACCAAGUACAGGAUCCGGCUUACAGCUUGCCUUACAUU